UGGGGGAUAUUGCACAAUGGAGGAAACUCUGAUGCAGCGACGCCGCGUGAGGGAAGAAGGUCUUCGGAUUGUAAACCUCUGUCUUUGGGGACGAAGAAAGUGACGGUACCCAAAGAGGAAGCCACGGCUAACUACGUGCCAGCAGCCGCGGUAAUACGUAGGUGGCGAGCGUUGUCCGGAAUUACUGGGUGUAAAGGGUGCGUAGGCGGACUGGCAAGUUGGAUGUGAAAUCUCCGCGCUUAACGUGGAGGUUGCAUUCAAAACUGUUGGUCUUGAGUGAGGCAGAGGCAGGCGGAAUUCCCGGUGUAGCGGUGAAAUGCGUAGAGAUCGGGAGGAACACCAGUGGCGAAGGCGGCCUGCUGGGCCUUAACUGACGCUGAGGCACGAAAGCAUGGGUAGCAAACA
Molecule: ribosomal RNA, 405 nt
Filed under: uncultured bacterium
Lineage: Bacteria
Description: bacterial SSU rRNA
Rfam family: Bacterial small subunit ribosomal RNA
Source: RNAcentral